GGGGCGAAGAUAAGAUGGAUUAGCGGCGGACGGGUGAGUAACACGUGAGUAACCUGCCUUUUACACAGGGAUAGCCUCGGGAAACCGGGAUUAAAACCUGAUGAAACUAUCAAAUCACAUGAUUAAGAAAGUUAAAACUCCGGUGGUAAAAGAUGGACUCGCGUCCCAUUAGCUAGUAGGUGAAGGUAACGGCCCACCAAGGCAACGAUGGGUAGCCGGCCUGAGAGGGUGAACGGUCACAUUGGAACUGAGAAACGGUCCAAACUCCUACGGGAGGCAGCAGUGGGGAAUAUUGCACAAUGGGGGAAACCCUGAUGCAGCGACGCCGCGUGAGCGAAGAAGGCCUUCGGGUCGUAAAGCUCUUUUAUAUGGGAAGAUAAUGACGGU
This 387-nucleotide ribosomal RNA is filed under the name uncultured Peptoniphilus sp. Its description in RNAcentral is "bacterial SSU rRNA". It matches the Rfam family "Bacterial small subunit ribosomal RNA", at positions 82 to 458 of the family's 1533-position model. The record is from RNAcentral. Lineage: Bacteria; Bacillati; Bacillota; Tissierellia; Tissierellales; Peptoniphilaceae.